GCCCGUCUAGCUCAGUCGGUAGAGCGCAAGGCUCUUAACCUUGUGGUCGCGGGUUCGAGCCCCGCGGUGGGCA
Molecule: transfer RNA, 73 nt
Filed under: Porticoccaceae bacterium
Lineage: Bacteria; Pseudomonadati; Pseudomonadota; Gammaproteobacteria; Cellvibrionales; Porticoccaceae
Description: tRNA-Lys
Rfam family: tRNA
About the family: Transfer RNA (tRNA) molecules are approximately 80 nucleotides in length.
Source: RNAcentral